Dendroctonus ponderosae (mountain pine beetle) is the source of this 1182-nucleotide long non-coding RNA. RefSeq lists it as uncharacterized. The transcript is spliced from 2 exons. The record is from RefSeq and is a predicted model, not a curated record. Lineage: Eukaryota; Metazoa; Arthropoda; Insecta; Coleoptera; Curculionidae.
CCACCUGGAAACGCAGUUAUUCUCAAGUUAUCUACUUUGUCUCUAUAAAUGAGCAAAUGAAAGCAGUUGAAAUGAUUUGCAAUCUUCUAAAAAUCGCAAAUACUUACAAGACUACCGAAAAGGAGUUUUAGAACGGAAACGCUCGAGGGCCUGUUUGGAAUACCUCGACAGACAAUCAGCAAGGAAGAAUGCUACCUGCAAGCCAUCUGAGAGUGUUCGCAGAACUUUUGAAGCAGAUUAACACUUUUCGCGACCUUUUUGGACGACUCAUCUAUCGAACGAGAACAACUGGAAACCGGAUUUUACAAGGAAAUUAAUUAAAUUAGCAGGGGACGCUUAAAUGAAGCAGAAAAUAUUCCCAAAAAUGCUGGGAGUGUUAAUAAAUCCACCAAACAAUGUACUUCAUAAUUCUUACCCGCAUACAAUAAAGCAAUUCAUGCAGAAGUUGCGUUCUAAUUGAGUGAAAAUACAGGGGUGUCUGUCACUUCCAAAUUUUCCUUCAUGAGCGAAAAACUUCCAAUUCAUGCUCAAUUUAUUGAUGACUUAUUUAUCUGACUCAAUUAUGUGAUAAUAUCUCGAUCAAUGCGCAAAAAAUUAAACAAAUUAUUGAAUUUUGCACUUACCGAACAUCUACUACACCUGGAGACAUAAAAUCCUCUACCCGCAUUGUACACGUGAUUCAUAGUCGAUUUUAGCAUAACCCCACUGGCUAUUAUUUAACACCAAACAUACCGUUAGUAGAACCACCUUUUCUUGUUCAAAGCCCUUUUGGAAGACCCGAAAUUAACUGGAAUAACCGUCAGUUCGAAGACUCCCGCAUUUUGGUGACGGGUGUUGAGCGGUCGUCUCAUUGAGUGACACUAAGAUACUUAAACAGUUUAUUGGCUCUAGACUUGAUCUUAUUUAGUUUAUUAGUUUAAUUUUCAUUUAGGUAGUGAAAAGGCAGUUGAUGAAUGAAGACGAAUGAGUGGAUAAAUGGAGACGUUCUGGCGAUGGAACAUAUGGGUAACAGAAUACUAAAGACGCGCGGGGCUUUAGCACUUGUAUGAUUUCUAAAUUGAUUUUGACUCAGUAGGAAAUGGAACAGAACGUCUUAUGAAAGUAUUUUUUAGGUAGAACUGUUUGCAAAAUAUAUGAGUUGCAAUAAUAUGAAUAAGCAAUUAUAAAAUAAAGUAAUAAUCU